GUAUCAUGGAAGUCCAAUAACAAGUGGCCCUAAGCAGAUAAGAUAAAGAAGAAUAUAGAAAUAGUUGAGAUUAGAGGGAAUAUUCCAUGGCCUUAGCACACUGCACUUCAACUCCUUUAGCCUACUAUAAAUAUAUGGAUGUGCUCGGUUUAGUUUGGCAACAAAGAGUAGUUGGCGAGUCAUUUAAUCUUACCAAGCUAAAUGAGGAGCAGUAAUGCAGUAUCUUUUCAACUGGAGAGGA
RNAcentral lists this long non-coding RNA (241 nucleotides) under Elaeis guineensis (African oil palm). Its description in RNAcentral is "long non-coding RNA (EGUI_LNC066743)". Lineage: Eukaryota; Viridiplantae; Streptophyta; Magnoliopsida; Arecales; Arecaceae. The record is from RNAcentral.